UAAUAAGCCGCAACUGGAAGCGUAGA
This 26-nucleotide non-coding RNA is filed under the name Homo sapiens (human). Lineage: Eukaryota; Metazoa; Chordata; Mammalia; Primates; Hominidae. The record is from RNAcentral.